CCCCGCUUGGCCCAGUGGUAAGGCGUGUCACUCGUAACAUUGCGACAUGACAAGAUCAGUUGUUCGAAUCAGCUAGUGGGCA
Molecule: non-coding RNA, 82 nt
Organism: Mycena amicta
Lineage: Eukaryota; Fungi; Basidiomycota; Agaricomycetes; Agaricales; Mycenaceae
Source: the annotation of a GenBank genome assembly